RNAcentral lists this unclassified non-coding RNA (240 nucleotides) under soil metagenome. RNAcentral describes it as "partial contains 5.8S ribosomal RNA, internal transcribed spacer 2, and large subunit ribosomal RNA". The record is from RNAcentral.
AACGCACGAGACCUGCGGACCUGCGGAGGGAUCAUUAAUGAGAAACUGCCCCUCGCGGGUAGAUCUCCCACCCUUUGUAAACUUACCUUUGUUGCUUUGGCAGGCCCGUCUCCGGACCGCCGGCUUCGGCUGGCCAGUGCCUGCCAGAGGAUUCUAAAACUCUGUCUGUCAGUGUUGUCUGAGUCUAUAAACAAUCGUUAAAACUUUUAACAACGGAUCUCUAGAUCGGAAGAGCACACG